Molecule: long non-coding RNA, 2724 nt
Filed under: Homo sapiens (human)
Lineage: Eukaryota; Metazoa; Chordata; Mammalia; Primates; Hominidae
Description: non-protein coding lnc-LGI2-2:1
Source: RNAcentral
CUAUCCUUGCCUGGGCUUUGGGAAAACCCUUCCCCGGGGCUUCAGAGAUGCUCCUGCAGAGGGAGGUGAUGUGUCAGCUGCUGACUGUCAACAUGAUGCCAUGGAAAAAUCAUAUUGAUGGGGCGCAGAUUGCUGUGCCUGCUUGCUCUGCCAUCUGCAGACCCCACGACCAAGGCAGUAUUGGAGGUGGCAGGGAUGGGACUCUCUCUCACUAGCCAGUUCCAAUUUGCUUUCUAAUUUGCUCCAACCUGGUGAGUGCUGCUGGGGUCAAUCUGUAACCUUUUCUUCCUUCCCAACAUUCUCUGGCUUUGCCAGACUUUGCAGCAUGCAUGCAGGCUGCUCAGUCAAGCCUGGGCAGCUGCCAUUUCUGCGGCCUCUUCUGAGAACCUCCUAGUUACCUUCUGACUUCGUACGCCUCUUAUUGUGCCCAAGUCCGAACUCAUGCCCAAAUCCAAACUCGUGCCCAAAUUGUUCUGCCCCUCUUCAUUCAUACCCCUCUCUGGCCUUCAGAGCAUCUGCUGGCUGCUCUCCUUUGCUGAUUUGCUGGGGUUUGAGUAAGCCUUUUAUUAAGCUGUUUUCAGUGCUUAGGGAAGAAGACUGCAAUUGCUCACAAAGAACUCAUAGCAACCUCUCUCUGGGAUUUUUGCAGGCCUCCUCAGCACCCUCCCUACCUCCUGUGUCUCCUUGUACCUUUCCAUUUCAUUAAUUACUGCCUGAUCAAGUCUCUGGAAGCAAAACUCUGACUGUGACCCUUCCUCACUCACAGACCUCCAUAGCUCCCGUCAGCUCUCAUGUUGGCCCAAACUCUGCUGUCAUUUAAGGCCUUUCUUACUUUCAUCCAAACCAAACUUUCCAGACUUAUUUUGACUUUCUCCUUUUCACACAUCCUGCACUCCUGGAAAACAACCACUUCUAUUUCUGUCUGAAGCGCAUGCUGCCACACACCCAGCCUUUGAUCAGGCCGUGCCUUCUGCCUGGAACUCUUGUUCUCUUCCUUUUUCUUACUUCUCUCUCAAGGUUCAGUCACAGCUCUCUUGCCCCCAGACUAAAAGCCCUCCUCCCCUUCUGUGAUCUCACAACAUCUAGCCAUGCCUCUCUGACCGCGUGUCUCCCUGGCCGCCAUGGGUUGGAUUUACAUGUGUUUGUGCCUUGCCUGCAGCUUGGAGUUGCUCUAGUGAAGGAACUGACCAAUUCAUCUUUGAAUCUCUCACUGUGACCAGCACAGUGUCCUGCAUAUAGUGGAAAAAUCUAAAAGAGAUGACAAACCUCAUGGUUUCUCAGUUAAUACUUAAAUUGAAAAACUACUGAAUUAACACGAGGACGUUGAUUUUUUUUUUCUUUUGGUCCAAACAACAUUCUCAUCUGUUUCUUUCCCCAAAGUCCCUUUGUAUCCAUUUUUAUCCCACAGACAUGACUUUCAAAAUAUAGACUGUGAUCUUUUCAAGGUAGUAAGUCAAAUCACCUUUUAAUAAGCUCUAAGGGAUUUAUGAACUUACUGUAAGUCAAUUCCUUCCUCCCUCCCUUCUUUACCUUCCUUCCUUCCAAACUGGAAUUUUAUUAUCUCAGAUAUAUUGCUUGAAAAAAGCCAGGCAGAGGCUGUGGGUGGGAAAUCAUUUGGUUAUAAAGAGCUACUUUCUGUAAUGGGAUCUGACCUGUAUUAUAGCGUGUCUGAACAUACACCAGGCUUUAACUCUCUUCUGCUCUAGAAUUCAAGCUUGCUCCAAAGGUUAUUUGCUACCCACGGUUGACUCUCAUGCAAUUUCUUUGGCCCCUAUGGUCUUCUCAUUAAGAAAAAUAAUGAUAAAAAUAAUUCUUUACAUUCGUCUUUCUUCAACUGGUAUUUACAAGGAUUUACUGUGUCUCAGGCACUCUGCCAAAAGUUGGGGUAUACAGUCCACCAGGAUGUAGUCACCUUACCCCCCAUUUCCUUAUGGAACCCUCAUAACAAGCUUGUGGAUUAGACUGAGCAGGUGGUAAUGACCUCAUUAUAUAAACAAAGACAUGGUAAUUCAGAGUGUUCGUGAAAUGCUCAGAAGUUCAGCAUCCUUCUUUAUGGUCACUCAGCAAGAAGCAAGCAAGAGGAGCUCGGUUUUAACUUCCUGUUGGAUGUUUUUCCCUCUGGACCCCAGGUUUGUGCUGGGAACCCUGGAUUCAGGCGCCCUGCAUGCUCACUUCCAGACAAGAGGCGGCAGCCCUUGCAUGCUGCAAGACCGCUUUCCUCAUCUCUGCUUCUGCUAACCUGAUCUAAACCCAAGAAUGUGAGCUGAAAAGGAGACUUUUGGGGUCUGGUUCUAGAUUCCUGCCCAGACUUCAGUAUAGGCUGGAAAUUGAGCAACAGUGGGCUAAGGAGUCCUCAAGAGUGGGGUCAGGUCAUCCUGAAGGGAUGGUCUCAUAGCCCCUCUGUUGUGGGAGCCUGAAGACAGGUGCACCAGGUGACCCAGUCCUGUCUGAGCAGAGGCUCCAAGAAAGUGAGAUAAUCUAGUAACACCUCAGACUCACCACCCCACCCCAUGCCCAUUGUAAAGAAUUUCCUCAGGCAGCCAUGAGGGACAUGCCCCAGACUGCCUGAGCCUGUGAAUGAGGAAAGGUUUGAGAAGAAAGUGAAUGACUGAAGGUGUUAUCUAGAGAUGAGAAAUGCCUUGGGUAACAGUGGAUUUUAACUUUAAACACCGAGCAAUGUAAAUUCACUGCACCCUCCAAAUUUAGAAAAAUAUAAAAGAAAAA